RNAcentral lists this ribosomal RNA (1507 nucleotides) under Klebsiella pneumoniae. RNAcentral describes it as "bacterial SSU rRNA". It matches the Rfam family "Bacterial small subunit ribosomal RNA". The record is from RNAcentral. Lineage: Bacteria; Pseudomonadati; Pseudomonadota; Gammaproteobacteria; Enterobacterales; Enterobacteriaceae.
AGAGUUUGAUCAUGGCUCAGAUUGAACGCUGGCGGCAGGCCUAACACAUGCAAGUCGAGCGGUAGCACAGAGAGCUUGCUCUCGGGUGACGAGCGGCGGACGGGUGAGUAAUGUCUGGGAAACUGCCUGAUGGAGGGGGAUAACUACUGGAAACGGUAGCUAAUACCGCAUAACGUCGCAAGACCAAAGUGGGGGACCUUCGGGCCUCAUGCCAUCAGAUGUGCCCAGAUGGGAUUAGCUAGUAGGUGGGGUAACGGCUCACCUAGGCGACGAUCCCUAGCUGGUCUGAGAGGAUGACCAGCCACACUGGAACUGAGACACGGUCCAGACUCCUACGGGAGGCAGCAGUGGGGAAUAUUGCACAAUGGGCGCAAGCCUGAUGCAGCCAUGCCGCGUGUGUGAAGAAGGCCUUCGGGUUGUAAAGCACUUUCAGCGGGGAGGAAGGCGNNNNNNNNNCGAUUGACGUUACCCGCAGAAGAAGCACCGGCUAACUCCGUGCCAGCAGCCGCGGUAAUACGGAGGGUGCAAGCGUUAAUCGGAAUUACUGGGCGUAAAGCGCACGCAGGCGGUCUGUCAAGUCGGAUGUGAAAUCCCCGGGCUCAACCUGGGAACUGCAUUCGAAACUGGCAGGCUAGAGUCUUGUAGAGGGGGGUAGAAUUCCAGGUGUAGCGGUGAAAUGCGUAGAGAUCUGGAGGAAUACCGGUGGCGAAGGCGGCCCCCUGGACAAAGACUGACGCUCAGGUGCGAAAGCGUGGGGAGCAAACAGGAUUAGAUACCCUGGUAGUCCACGCCGUAAACGAUGUCGAUUUGGAGGUUGUGCCCUUGAGGCGUGGCUUCCGGAGCUAACGCGUUAAAUCGACCGCCUGGGGAGUACGGCCGCAAGGUUAAAACUCAAAUGAAUUGACGGGGGCCCGCACAAGCGGUGGAGCAUGUGGUUUAAUUCGAUGCAACGCGAAGAACCUUACCUGGUCUUGACAUCCACAGAACUUNUUGGUGCCUUCGGGAACUGUGAGACAGGUGCUGCAUGGCUGUCGUCAGCUCGUGUUGUGAAAUGUUGGGUUAAGUCCCGCAACGAGCGCAACCCUUAUCCUUUGUUGCCAGCGGUUAGGCCGGGAACUCAAAGGAGACUGCCAGUGAUAAACUGGAGGAAGGUGGGGAUGACGUCAAGUCAUCAUGGCCCUUACGACCAGGGCUACACACGUGCUACAAUGGCAUAUACAAAGAGAAGCGACCUCGCGAGAGCAAGCGGACCUCAUAAAGUAUGUCGUAGUCCGGAUUGGAGUCUGCAACUCGACUCCAUGAAGUCGGAAUCGCUAGUAAUCGUAGAUCAGAAUGCUACGGUGAAUACGUUCCCGGGCCUUGUACACACCGCCCGUCACACCAUGGGAGUGGGUUGCAAAAGAAGUAGGUAGCUUAACCUUCGGGAGGGCGCUUACCACUUUGUGAUUCAUGACUGGGGUGAAGUCGUAACAAGGUAACCGUAGGGGAACCUGCGGUUGGAUCACCU